This 253-nucleotide ribosomal RNA is filed under the name uncultured Ruminococcus sp. RNAcentral's name for it is "partial 16S ribosomal RNA". It matches the Rfam family "Bacterial small subunit ribosomal RNA", at positions 524 to 776 of the family's 1533-position model. The record is from RNAcentral. Lineage: Bacteria; Bacillati; Bacillota; Clostridia; Eubacteriales; Oscillospiraceae.
UACGUAGGGAGCAAGCGUUGUCCGGAUUUACUGGGUGUAAAGGGUGCGUAGGCGGCUUAGUAAGUCAGAAGUGAAAUCCAUGGGCUUAACCCAUGAACUGCUUUUGAAACUGCUAAGCUUGAGUGGAGUAGAGGUAGGCGGAAUUCCCGGUGUAGCGGUGAAAUGCGUAGAGAUCGGGAGGAACACCAGUGGCGAAGGCAGCGUACCGGCGCCCAACUGACGCUGAAGCACGAAAGCGUGGGUAUCGAACAGG